Non-coding RNA from Lupinus angustifolius (narrow-leaved blue lupine), 271 nucleotides. It matches the Rfam family "Early nodulin 40". NCBI's taxonomy places the organism in Eukaryota, Viridiplantae, Streptophyta, Magnoliopsida, Fabales, Fabaceae. The record is from Rfam.
AUGGGAACUUAAUGGCAUAUAAAAGAAGCUUUGAAGGGACAGUGUUAAAGGGUCCUCACCCUUCACACCACUCCUUUCAUUUCCAACAGUUUGCUUAGGAUUAUUUAGCUAUUGGCUUCUUUAAUAAUAACCAUUGAUAUGGAAAAAUUUCUAUAUAGUAGCCGAAGGAAGAAGAGAAGCUAGCAAUGUUCAAAGGAAUUGAAGAAGCUUUUGGUUACAGAUUCGCAAACCGGCAAGUCAGAAAAAGGCAAUGGACUCCAUUAGGGUUCGU